UGAUGAUACAGACUUUUCCUCUGAGAGGUAGACAGAAGGAAUCUCUGAGAGCCACACUUCAGCUUAUUCUAGUCAAAAAGCAAAUAACAAAAAAAACAAAAUCUAAAAAACAUGGCAGAGUUCCCCCCCACCCCUCCAACCCAUUCCUCGGGACCUGCACGCAGCAGAUACCUGCCCUGGUCGCUGGACCUCAGGGCAGCAACGAGACAAGGGGCCCGGGAACGUGAUCACGGUAAGGAAGGCGCCUUCCGGUCUUCAGUGUGGGCCGGGCAGGGCUGGGUGGCAGCUCCGUGGCACCCGGGCUCAGGCUCCUUCACCCGGUCCGCUGUGUUCAGGCACCUUCCCCUGAGAAGCCACGGCUGCCCUCACAUCCCCAGCGCAGCAGGUGGAGAGAGGAGCAUCCAGUAGAGAGCUCACAGCCUUUUCCUUCUGAGCCUGCUCACGUCCCAUCCGUCCCAUCCCGUGGUCACGAGGCUGCCAGGCAGGCUGGGGACAUCGUCCUGGAUGGGUGGCUCUGCCUACUGACACAUCCUGCCAUGGAAGAGACAAAGGAGGCGUGGAAGUGGGGUGUGAGGAACAGGUGCUCGGCCACACACCCUCCUGGGGGCUGCCAACACCCACACACUCUCCUCUCCCUGGGCUUUGAACACACUCGGCUCCUUUGCAUGGGCUGGCCUUGCAGCGAGUCCAGGAUCUGUGGGUGACGCACAGUCCCCUCGUGGAGGCCAGAAGCAAGCUCAUGAGCAGGGAAGCUCUGAAUGCCAAAGGGACAGGGGGUUCUGCUGCCCCUCCACAGCAAGAGUGCCACUCAGGAGCACUGCCCAAGAUGCCCGCCCUGGACGAGGGAAGGGGGGCAGGCUGCAGGCUCUGGUCCACGGUGAGAGCCGAACCCGCACCCUUGUCCACUGUCCGUGGCCCCUGUGCGGUCUGCUUUGAGGCCAACCCUUGCUCUUCCCUCCCUUGCAGAGCAACAGGUUUGUAGCCAGUGUGUUUGGAAGCGCGCGGUGGCUCGCCUGGCCACCCAACAGGUUCAGGUCUCUGCUGCUGGUUAGAUCCAUGUUGUAUGUGGCCUCUCCUCAAGAACUUUCUAGACCUGGAGUCUGUCUUUAUUUCCAGCCCUCUGUUCUCAGCCCACCUUCUCCAUCCCGGGAAGGCAACUACCUUGAAGCCGGACCCACGGGCGUGGGCAGGAAGCCAGCACCUUACGGAGACCACAGCCCGAGGCUGGCCCCCUCAUCUGAUGGAGAACCCCCGCAGCAGGUGCAUGGGGGACAGAGCAGUCCCCUCUUCUGCUAAGACUUUGUCUCCAGAGCCCUCUCUGUGUCUCCUGCAUCACUUCCCAAGGGAGCAGCGGCAGCCCCCACACCCCACCUCCUGGGCUUGUCAGGAUGGCUCUCAGACGCCAGGCUGCCAGUGUGUCUGGCUUCCAAGCAUCACUGAGUGUUGACGAGGGUUCCCACCGUACAACAGGACCCGGCCUCCGUCCCUCAUGGCACCUGGGCCCCUGAGGUUCUUGCUUUUCCUGUGGCAUACUCAGUCUCACAGUCAGGACAGGGGCGUGGAUCCCCCUCAACAGUG
This 1578-nucleotide long non-coding RNA is filed under the name Marmota monax (woodchuck). Lineage: Eukaryota; Metazoa; Chordata; Mammalia; Rodentia; Sciuridae. The record is from RNAcentral.